ACAUUUCCUAAAAUCAAAAAGUUUAACAACAACAAGGCAACCUUCCCGCUCUUUAAUGCUUUGGGAGAGCUUUAUGAUGGACACUUGGCUGAAGGGACUUGGAAUUGCACUUCUCUUGAGGCACCGCAAGAGGAAGAACCGAAUGAGCAACUUCAGGAUGUAGAAGAUGGACCACAAGGCUUUGAUCUGAAUGUUGUUCAUGAUGUAGAUGAUGAAGUUAAUGAUGCACUCGCUGAAAGGAAUGAAGAUAUGCUUCAAGGAAGGGCUAAUACUCUGUCACGAGAUGAAGAAAGUGGACAACGAAGACCUGCUGCGUCAAGAAACAAGCAAGAAAAGGAACCAAAGAAGCCUAGAAAGACUGACAACAUAGAAAAUAUGAUGAACAAAUACCUAGAAAUGAGGAGCAAGCAAGUAGAAGAUGAAGCUGCAAGAGAAAAGGAAGCAAGAGAAAAGGAGACAAGAGAAAAGGAGGCAGCUCAAAGUGAAGAUUUCUCCAUCAAAAGGUGCAUAUCAGUUCUGAACACAAUGGAAGAAGUGACCAAAAUGGAGAAGGCAAAAGCAUAUUCAGUCUUCACCAAGAGCAAAGAGAAUAGAGAGACUUUCAUAUGUGCAUGUGAAGCGGAUCAAGAAUCAGCUUUGAUUUGGCUAAGAAAUGAGAUGGCUUAGUAGGUUUGGGUGAUCAAUCGGUGAUGCUUAGCACAUCUGGAGGUUUCUUAUUUUGAACUGACAUGCGUAGUUCUAAAGUGGUGUUUCUUCUUAGCACAUCUGUUCUAUCUCUUAGCUGUUGAAGAUGUCACAUGUCACAAGUUAUACCUGUCUGCCAUCGUUAAGCUUUAUAAUAAUGUGUAUCAAUCCGAGCGUGCAUCUAUCAGAAUUUCUUUUUUUUCUCCCUUUCUGAAUCCCAACCGUUGUCUGAUACUGAAAAUUCAGGC
Zea mays is the source of this 932-nucleotide long non-coding RNA. RefSeq lists it as uncharacterized. The record is from RefSeq and is a predicted model, not a curated record. Lineage: Eukaryota; Viridiplantae; Streptophyta; Magnoliopsida; Poales; Poaceae. The transcript has 3 exons.